UUCGCGGCCCUUAUCAGCUUGUUGGUGGGGUAAUGGCCUACCAAGGCGACGACGGGUAGCCGGCCUGAGAGGGCGACCGGCCACACUGGGACUGAGACACGGCCCAGACUCCUACGGGAGGCAGCAGUGGGGAAUAUUGCACAAUGGGCGAAAGCCUGAUGCAGCGACGCCGCGUGAGGGAUGACGGCCUUCGGGUUGUAAACCUCUUUCAGCAGGGAAGAAGCGCAAGUGACGGUACCUGCAGAAGAAGCGCCGGCUAACUACGUGCCAGCAGCCGCGGUAAUACGUAGGGCGCAAGCGUUGUCCGGAAUUAUUGGGCGUAAAGAGCUCGUAGGCGGCUUGUCACGUCGGAUGUGAAAGCCCGGGGCUUAACCCCGGGUCUGCAUUCGAUACGGGCUAGCUAGAGUGUGGUAGGGGAGAUCGGAAUUCCUGGUGUAGCGGUGAAAUGCGCAGAUAUCAGGAGGAACACCGGUGGCGAAGGCGGAUCUCUGGGCCAUUACUGACGCUGAGGAGCGAAAGCGUGGGGAGCGAACAGGAUUAGAUACCCUGGUAGUCCACGCCGUAAACGUUGGGAACUAGGUGUUGGCGACAUUCCACGUCGUCGGUGCCGCAGCUAACGCAUUAAGUUCCCCGCCUGGGGAAGUACGGAA
RNAcentral lists this ribosomal RNA (650 nucleotides) under Streptomyces californicus. Its description in RNAcentral is "bacterial SSU rRNA". It matches the Rfam family "Bacterial small subunit ribosomal RNA", at positions 228 to 887 of the family's 1533-position model. RNAcentral also lists the same sequence under 1 other name. The record is from RNAcentral. Lineage: Bacteria; Bacillati; Actinomycetota; Actinomycetes; Kitasatosporales; Streptomycetaceae.